RNA transcript from Schistocerca gregaria, 614 nucleotides. RefSeq lists it as uncharacterized. Lineage: Eukaryota; Metazoa; Arthropoda; Insecta; Orthoptera; Acrididae. The record is from RefSeq and is a predicted model, not a curated record. The transcript is spliced from 3 exons.
GUUCAACAGCAGCACAUACUAUUUGAUUUUCCAAUAAUGCAUCUUUUAUGAGCACACUAUGAGCGACAACGUCUGGAAAUGUGAGGUAAGAUUGUGCAAAAAAAGGGGAAGAGCAUUAAAGAUUGCUACUACAAAAAUGUGAAAAUGCAAGAUGACAAAAGUGGAGAUUCAUCAAAACCCAGGAAACAUUACAUUUAUCACAAACAGUUGUCAUUUCUCCAACCUUUAUGUGUAGAAAGUGGGCCAACAUCUGGGAAUAUGGCUGUCGAUUUAACAGAAAGUACACAAGCCGCUGACAACAAAACUGCACAACAAGAAGCAAGCACGACACCUGAAACACAACAUACUACAUCCAAAGCCUCUCUCCCUGCUCGCACAGCGCAAAGGGAGAAAGUCCAUUACCGAAGAAAUGAAAACAGGACGAGUUUGAAAAAUUGUUGUUGGGCGUUUUGGAAUAUUUACAAUUGUUUCAGUCCUUCACACAUGCACAGCCGUUCAGAAUUACAUCUGAAAGUGACCAACAAUCAUCUCAGUUCACAAGUAGCACACCUUCAAUGAUCUUCGAGGAAAAAUCAGAAGAUUCAAUCCUGUCCUUUUAUGCACUGUAAACAAAU